CCAGGAGACACCCUAUAGACACCCGGAGAGGAGACUGCUGACAUCAGUCACGUACAGGGCAGAUGGGAAGUGUGAUACCGCACACACAGCUAUUGCACCGGGCGCUGGAUAACGUCAUCAGUAGGCGUCUUCAUACUGGAUUCGCAGCACCUGCACGUGGUGAUGGUGAUGCUUUAUAAGGGUGGCCCGGACGGUCACAUGAUGCAAGGGUUCUCGCCAACUCCGAUCUUUACAGUAUUGCUGAGGACAAGCUUGGUGGAUGACUUUUCCCUUGAGAGAAAUCGGUGAUCGUACAUGGUGUGGACAUCCCGGUCCACCUCAUUGGUGAUGCAGCAUACCCAUUACAGCGCUGGCUAAUGAAGGGCUACACCCAGCAUGUUCACUUAUCCCCCGAACAGACAUCAUAUACCCAUGCCCCAAGUUCGGCCCGUAUGGCAGUGGAGAAUGCGUUUGGGCGUUUAAAAGGACGCUGGCACUGCCUCAUGAAGAGGAAUGAUGUGGACUUGAAAAUAAUGCCAGAUAUUGUAGCAGCCUGCUGCAUUCUCCAUAACAUAUGUGAGAUUCAAAAGGAAAACUUUCUCCCCGAGUGGAAUGUACAUGAUCAUGGGGCGGGGGUCACUGUACAUGAUGCACUAGGCUUGGUGGGGGGGCAUAACGCUGCCAGCGAGUGCAUAAGGGCCACCAUUGCAGCUAAUCUUCAAACAAUGUUGCAGUAGAGAAGACAGACAAGUUUUUGUGUGCAAACAAUUUUUGUUUAUUUCGUUUUUCAGUUAUAAAAAUUUGGUUCAAAAGUUAUGUUAUU
Long non-coding RNA from Pseudophryne corroboree (corroboree frog), 802 nucleotides. RefSeq lists it as uncharacterized. NCBI's taxonomy places the organism in Eukaryota, Metazoa, Chordata, Amphibia, Anura, Myobatrachidae. The transcript is spliced from 4 exons. The record is from RefSeq and is a predicted model, not a curated record.